CAGUCGCCGCGGUAAUACGAAGGGGGCUAGCGUUGCUCGGAAUGACUGGGCGUAAAGAGCUCGUAGGCGGUUUGUCACGUCGUCUGUGAAAUCCUAGGGCUUAACCCUGGACGUGCAGGCGAUACGGGCUGACUUGAGUACUACAGGGGAGACUGGAAUUUCUGGUGUAGCGGUGGAAUGCACAGAUAUCAGGAAGAACACCGAUGGCGAAGGCAGGUCUCUGGGUAGUAACUGACGCUGAGGAGCGAAAGCAUGGGUAGCGAACAGGAUUAGAUACCCGAGUAGUCCCUGUCUCUUAUAC
Molecule: ribosomal RNA, 301 nt
Filed under: uncultured bacterium
Lineage: Bacteria
Description: partial 16S ribosomal RNA
Rfam family: Bacterial small subunit ribosomal RNA
Source: RNAcentral